CAGUAAGUAGUUUAUUUAAAAUAUUAAUUUUGGGGAUUAAUGAUGUGUUUUUACUCUUUGCUGA
Molecule: transfer RNA, 64 nt
Filed under: Catamiarus brevipennis
Lineage: Eukaryota; Metazoa; Arthropoda; Insecta; Hemiptera; Reduviidae
Description: tRNA-Pro
Source: RNAcentral